Molecule: long non-coding RNA, 592 nt
Organism: Polypterus senegalus (gray bichir)
Lineage: Eukaryota; Metazoa; Chordata; Cladistia; Polypteriformes; Polypteridae
Exons: 3
Source: RefSeq, a predicted model, not a curated record
UCUUACCCAACAUUUCUGUGCGUACGCACCGUUUAUACAUGAGGCCCUAGGAGCGGAGUACAUCCGUGUACUAGACGUUCGGAGACUUUUAUUUUGAAACAAACCGUUGUCGUCAGUACAGGAAGUCCGGCUGGCUUUACAAGCGGACCAUUCGGUGCAUCACGUUGUUUCAAGUUGCUCGGAUACAAAAUGGAGCUGACGAAGUUUGACCGAGGCCAGGUGGUGGGAGUGUUAUUGGCAGGAAAGUCGCAGAAACAGAUUGUUGAAAUCACAGGCUUACCGGAAUCUUCAGUGAAUAAAGUCAUUGCUGACUGGAAUCAAGGACUCAUCGAUCCAAAGACAGGAAUGUACGUUGAGCCGAACCAACAAGAUGCAGAAGUUAAAACAGACAUUGGUAAGAAGAAAAAGAAAUGAGGCCUCAUUGGGGAAGCAGUUGAUGGACUCUGUUGGAACACAAUGUUUAAAGACGUGAUUAUGGAACAGUGGACAGGAGUAAAAUGGACUGCAAACUUGAGGCCGCAAGAUGUGAUGGUGACUCCUGGUUUGAAAACUGAAGUGAAACAUUUUCCUCAAUAAACAAACAAAGAUUAAA